Molecule: ribosomal RNA, 261 nt
Filed under: uncultured bacterium
Lineage: Bacteria
Description: partial 16S ribosomal RNA
Rfam family: Bacterial small subunit ribosomal RNA
Source: RNAcentral
AGUGGCGGACGGGUGAGUAACGCGUGGGCAACCUGCCCCAUACAGGGGGAUAACAGCCGGAAACGGCUGCUAAAACCGCAUAAGCGCACAAGGGCCGCAUGGCCUGGUGUGAAAAACUCCGGUGGUAUGGGAUGGGCCCGCGUCUGAUUAGCUAGUUGGUGGGGUAACAGCCCACCAAGGCGACGAUCAGUAGCCGGCCUGAGAGGGUGAACGGCCACAUUGGGACUGAGACACGGCCCAAACUCCUACGGGAGGCAGCAG